GGCAAAAGCACAGUAAACGACACUGCACACAGUGUGCGUGAGUGUGUUGUGCAAGUAAACAAAAAGUUUCAAAAACCGAUUCAGUAGUAGCUCUUUUUAGCCCUCUUUUGUACUCUCUCAUCUUUUUCCUCACCGUCUGCAACAUCUUUUUUCUCUCUCUCUGAUACACUAACAAUGGCGGAAGAGUACUCUGUGGAUCCGGCGCAGUUACUGGAAGCAGCUACUGACUUUGCGUAUCAUCCUGGCGCUCUUUCCGAUGCUUCAGCUCAAGACUUUCUUAAUCGAUUUCCUCUUCCAGCCAUUAUCAAUGCUUUGCAAACAAAAGCAGAUUACCCUGGCCUAGAAAGUGCUUUGGUUGAUUGUUUAGAGAAGCUUUUCAAAACAAGAUAUGGAGCAUCACUCAUUCCACACUACAUGCCAUUUGUUAUUGUCGGUCUCGGUGCAGAGUCUCAGAAAGUCAGACGCUUAGCAUGCCAAACUGUAUCCUGCCUGUUGGAGAAUAUUGAUGAAGCACUUGUUAUACAACUAAUUCAUGAGUAUGGAGUUUAUCAACUUUUGCUUAAUUGCCUCAUAAGUGGGGAUGCGGAAGUUGCUGCUGCAUCUACAGAUGCAAUUAGGAAACUGGCUAGCCAUUCGAAAGGCAUUGAUAUCAUAUUUCCUGAAAGCGGCAAUGAAGCGACAAACCUCUUGAACUUCGCAACCAACUGUGCACCUCUGGGACGAGUUCGUGUUUUAGCUUUGAUAGUGAAGUUAUUCUCCAUUUCCACUUCUGUGGCAUCAAGAGUCUACAGCUCAAAUCUUCUUAGCUUGUUGGAGACAGAAAUCAGCAAUUCAGAUGAUACAUUAGUCACUUCGAGCAGCUUGGAACUCCUAUAUGAGUUGGCUGAUGUUGAGCACAGCACUGAGUUCUUGUCAAGGACUAAGUUUCUCCAAAUUCUUACUUCUAUUAUUAGUGAUGCUUCUGCUGAAUCGAUUUUGCGAUCAAGAGCAAUGAUGAUAACUGGAAGGCUGAUGGCUAGGGAGAAUGCCUUUGUCUUUAUUGAUGAAUCUGGUUGUAGAAAUCUUAUUUCUGCCAUUAAUGGAAGAUUCAAUUUAUUAGAAAAUCAAAAUGCAGAUGAAUGUGAAUGUGCUCUUGAAGCGCUCGGACAAAUUGGGUUGUCCAGCAAAGGUGCAGCAUUGCUUCUCUCAGGUGCACAGCCUGCAGAAAGACAUGUGAUUUAUGCAGCUUUUGAUCAGCAACAGCAUGGUAAACAGCUGGCAGCAUUGCAUGCUCUUGCAAACAUUGUUGGAGAAACUCGCGCCGAAAAGGAUGUAUUGCUGGAUGGUGAUGCAGAGCAGAAUCUUCGGCGUCUGAUCUAUGAAGCAGCAUCCAAGACUUCAAAGCUGACACCUUCAGGUCUCCUCUUAUCAGUUCUUCAACAGGAUU
This 1426-nucleotide unclassified non-coding RNA is filed under the name Hevea brasiliensis (rubber tree). The record is from RNAcentral. Lineage: Eukaryota; Viridiplantae; Streptophyta; Magnoliopsida; Malpighiales; Euphorbiaceae.